RNAcentral lists this ribosomal RNA (462 nucleotides) under uncultured bacterium. RNAcentral's name for it is "bacterial SSU rRNA". It matches the Rfam family "Bacterial small subunit ribosomal RNA", at positions 33 to 507 of the family's 1533-position model. The record is from RNAcentral.
ACGCUGGCGGCGUGCCUAACACAUGCAAGUCGAACGGGGUAAAGAGAGCUUGCUUUCUUACUUAGUGGCGAACGGGUGAGUAACGCGUGAGAAACCUGCCUUUCAGUGGGGGACAACAGUUGGAAACGACUGCUAAUACCGCAUAAUGUGCCGGGAGGGCAUCCUCCUGGUACCAAAGCUUAAUGUGCUGAAAGAUGGUCUCGCGUCUGAUUAGCUAGUUGGUGAGGUAACGGCUCACCAAGGCGACGAUCAGUAGCCGGUCUGAGAGGAUGAACGGCCACAUUGGGACUGAGAUACGGCCCAGACUCCUACGGGAGGCAGCAGUGGGGAAUAUUGGGCAAUGGGGGAAACCCUGACCCAGCAACGCCGCGUGAAGGAAGAAGGCCUUCGGGUUGUAAACUUCUUUUACCAGGGACGAAGAACGUGACGGUACCUGGAGAAAAAGCAACGGCUAACUACGUG